Molecule: long non-coding RNA, 11355 nt
Filed under: Phoenix dactylifera (date palm)
Lineage: Eukaryota; Viridiplantae; Streptophyta; Magnoliopsida; Arecales; Arecaceae
Description: long non-coding RNA (PDAC_LNC000147)
Source: RNAcentral
GUCAAAAUAUUAUACAUUCACUUUAAUAAAUAUCAAACUUCUCUUUUAAAAAAGGUCACACUGCUUAGGACUUUACAUACUAUUGACUAGAUGAUCCAAUUCAUUAGAUAAUAAACUAGAUUCAUGACUGGUUCUACAAUUGAGAUUCAACAUUCACAAUCAAUUAGACAAUAGGAUUCCUGAGAUUCACUAGUGGCUGCAGCUUGGACUCCCUCCACCUUGCUUUCUUCUACCUUGAUCUCUUCCUUCAACAUCUACUUUGGUGACAACGAAAUUCAACAACCAAUUACAGAAAUCUAUUAAUUACCACAUAGCCAACUACUAUUAACCACACUAAAUAGACAAUAAACAAUAUUGCUCUCAAAACAAAUUAGAAUAUAAAAACAAUUUUAAACCUAUCUUUAUGUUAGAGACAUUGCUCACGCAAGUCUUAAAUCACAACUUAGAGGCUCAAAAGUCAGAACAGAAAAAAAUCUAUGCCUGACUAAACCAAGCAUUGCGAACAUGGCCAGCAGCCAAUUCUUGAUCUCCUUCACUUUAAGAAACGCUGCUUGGUCAGGAUCAUUGGCUAACCCAGACGAUCAAAUGGACCUCCUGGGUGGAGCUUGUUCUCCAAAUUCUAGGGAACAACCAAAAAAUGAUCAAUUUGCUCUCAUUGAAAUAUUCUACGAACUAACAAAACAAAUUUAGAGGUCCCCAAAUGCAAUUGUUGUGACUAUAUCAUGCUGUAACAAAUCCUACAAAUAGAGACCACCAAAAAUUGCUGCACAUAUACUAUAUAACUUAAAAACAUAAAAACUUAGGAAAGUUUCACCUUAGCAACUGAUUUUUGCAAACAAAAAACAUAAUAUCAUUCAUCUCUUUCACUUUACCAAAGAAACAACUAUCAAGUUACUGAUUCACUUUUAAGCGUUUGAUAAAAUAACCUUCGGCCAACUUGUUACACUACCAAGAACUUUUAGCACUUGUUUGGUUUGCGGAAAAAAAUUUUCUUCACUAGAAUAUUUUUCCUAAGAAGAUGAUUCCUAGGAAUAUGAUACUUAGAAAAAUAGUUUUAGCAUGUUUGGUCGAUCAUGGAAAAGUAGCAUAUCUCAGAGUGGCUUAUAUUUGGUUGAGAAUCUACUUUUCUAGAAAUGUUGUAUGAAAUAUCUAUUAUAUCAUUAAUAAAAAGAAAGACUUUACCUAUAAAUUUUGAUGGCUUAAAGAUACUUUUUUUUUGAAAAAAAGGGACUCCAAUUUUCAAUUGGUGUGAAAGUAGCUUUCUCAUAUCUCUCAUGGGUUUUUCUUCUCCAUGAAACAUAGUAAUCUUAUUCCUAUGGGAACGCUACUUUUUCAUUUCUCUCCUUUGAAAACUCCAACAAAUAAGAGGUAGUUAUUUAUUUUUUCAUCGACCACAUUUUUUCUUCUUUUUCUACAAACCAAAUGAGUCUUUAAGAUAAAGUUACAAAAGAAAAUAGCUUUAUAUCAAAAUUCAAAACAACCUUCAACAAAUGAAAAUAAUAAAUCAGUCCCUAAAUUAGCAUAUAAAAAUAAGGUCCANNNNNNNNNNNNNNNNNNNNNNNNNNNNNNNNNNNNNNNNNNNNCAUCAAAGUUCCAAAAUUUGCAGUCUCACCAUGACCUUGAUUGGACUUGAUAGAAAAUAGCUGGAAAAAAAAUAUCCCUUUUUCACUUAGAUAUAUAGUUAAUAUGCAUAAAAAUUACAAUAUUCUUAACAAUGUAAAUACAAUAAUAAAGAUGAUUAUUACCAGCACAAGCUAAUCAUCAGUAUUAAUAGCAAUAGUUGUUUCGUAAUCUUCAACCUUGUAUUUGUAUGAGGAGGUGGGCUAUCUACAUAUGAAAAAAUUACAAAAUUAAAAAUUAUAAAGUUUUAAUGCAUUAGUAUAUAAUAAAGUUUAUAAAUGUUCUAGAAAUUGAAUCUACAAGAUAAGACAAUAUGACUUGAAGCCAAUCGUAUGUGUAUAUCAAUGCCUCAACCAUAUCCGAGGNNNNNNNNNNNNNNNNNNNNNNNNNNNNNCUGCUAGCAGUGUUGUAAGUCGACUCAGAUGCAAAGGUAGAGAUAGGAAUUACUAAGAUAUCAUGAAUCAUCUUAGACAAUAUUGAAUAUUUUGAUUCAUUGAGUCUUUAAUAGUCUAGAAUAUCAAAAUUUUCAUCUCCUAGUGGAUGAACCUAGUCAAAAAAAAGCAUCGCAAGUUAUUUUUAUUAACAAUAUUGACCUAUACUUUAAUGCAGACAUUCAAAUUAGAUAUCAUGUAAAAUACUUUGUCUUCCAAAUAAGUCUCUAAUUCUGACUUGGACAGUUGAGCAAUUUCUUUUAGGAAAAAUCUUGCCUAAAAAUACUCUCAUCUCGUCUUCAGUUUUUAGGAUGAAGUGCUGACCAUUACACCAAAAGCGACCGCUGAUAGUGAAGGCGCUACUUUAUUUCCUUAAACCAUACCAGCCAGCGCCUCAAGUCGGCUACUGGGCGACACCACCCAUGGGUUCAGGGACCCCACCUAGGGCAUAAGCCACCUACUAACCGGUACAUCCAUGCUGGCAGGUGGCAGGACUGACUCGACCAACCCGGCCUCUGCCAACGUUGACUCGGCCCCUCAGGCCGCCGCCAACAAGAGGGAGUCUUAACAAGAUUAUGCUUAUCAUCUCAUAGAUAGAUAGAUGCUGUUCCUUAUCAUCUUAUCUUGACAAAUAUCAUAUUUAUCAAUUUACUGGUGAUUGGACACCACCAUAUCGUCUUAUCUUAAGGAAAUGACUAUUUUAUGUAAUAUCCUCAAUGCCAUCCCUUCUCUAUUUAUGUUUUUAGGAUUAUCUCCCCUUGUGCACAAAAUUUCUCUAGAAUACAAGAGGCCAUUUCCAAUAGAAAGAAUGGUAACAAUUCCUUGCCUUAUUUUCUUUUUACAUAUCCUGCCUCCAAUUUCCCAAGGGAAAUAUGCAAAGGCUAGUUUUUAGAGGUCACGAACAAUGCCAUCACAAUCAAGACCACAACGGCCACAAUUAGAUUAACCAGGAGCUGCUUUCGCUCGGUGGACUUCGGUAAUGUUUUCACAUAGAGACGCCCAUUUUCAAACCUAGCUUGGAACUCGUUGCAUUUCUUUGGGAUUGGGAAGACACUGCCAAAUCGACUCCAUCGGUUGUCUCCAAGAGGACGCUCCCCACUAACAUGCAGUUUUCCAGAGUAAUCUAAUUGAACCCUGACUUGCUCUUUCUUAAAUUCUACGAGCAAACAGAGAAAACGCAUUACAAAAUAUUCAUAAUCCUAUAAUUAAUGCAAAAAGGUUAGUUUAAACUAUAUGAGGCAUGACAUAUUCAAAUUCCAUGAGGAUUUCUACUUUAUAUUUGCAAUAUUUUUAUUAGAAACUUAUCACUAUAUGUACAAAGUAAACUAGUUCGUCAAAGCUUUAUAUAUUACUUCAACUUAUGUGAGAAAAGUAAUUAUAAAUCUACAACUUUCUAACUCCAUUGAAGGACCUACAAUUACAAUUGAUUGAGUUGAAGAGAAAGAAGGCGUGCCUGGGAGAUCGAUGACGAGUGUGUCAGUUCCUUCCUCUCGAACCCAUUUGUGUGAAGGGACGAAAUCUUUAUACACAGGCUGAUCAGCGGCACCUCCUGUUGCCAUGAGAGCCUCCUUUGCUUUGUUUCCCUCUUAGAACUUCUAAUGUUUUCGAGUGAAUGAAGAUGGAGGCCUUGCAUGGGUUCUAUAUAUAACUGCAUGAGGGAGGGAUUUCCAUUGUGAUGUGUUAAUCAAUGUUGAAUUAUUCCUUCAUGUGUUUUCUUAGGGUUUAGUUUGUUAGAAGGCAGGGAUAUUCCUUUUUUGAUUGGGUUUGUGUGGAGAUCGCCUCAUAGCAUGGGUAAAGGUGGAUGUUCCUUGUUUGCUUUGCACUCUUCUGUUCUAAAGAAUCUAUAUAUUGCUUGAUGAGGAGACGGAUUUCCUUUGUGUUGUGCUAAUCAAUAUCAAAUUAUUCCUUCAUGUGUUUUCUUAGGGUUUAGUUUGUUAGAAGGCAGGGUUAUUCCUUUUUUGAUUGGGCUUCCAUGGAGAUCACCUCAUAGCAUGAGCAAAGGUGGAUGUUCCAUGUUUACUUAGCACUCUUUUGUUCCAAAGGAUUUGUCAUGCUUUAAGUAAAAUACUAUGAUAGCUUUGUCACACCCCCAACUGAGAUACCGAGCUGGGGUUGCGUCAAUUGCCGCAUACUCGCAAGAAACUCUCUCUAUAAACAUGCAAGACAUCUCAACAUGAUGUCAUAAAUAAGCAGCUAAAUGAUUAUCAUUCAAACUUUAAUUUAAAUAACUAAUUCAAAAUUAAAUAUCUCAAAAAACCAAUAAUAUUCUAAAGUCUGUCAUCAACUUUAAUAAGAACUUAGUUUAAAUAAAAAAAAUCAAAAUUUUGUCUCUAGUCGUUCUCCCAUAACAAAUCCUAAAGUCAAGCUAGUUUUCUAAAUCUAUAAAAAUGGUAGAAUAUAGAUUAAUGAGCUAGACAACCUACUAAGCAAUGAGCACUUUAGCCAAAUAAAUAGAGUAAGAAGAUAAAUAAUUAUAUACUAAAAAUAAGCAUGCAAAAAUAGAUCAAUUAAAAACCAAAUGUAAAACUAUCCGGUCAUUUAAAAAUUCAAAUUGUCAUUCAUAAAUCAAUUUUUUUAAAAAAAAUAUCAAGUUUAUCUCGAUAGCCAUUAACUAUGACCAUAUUUAUACUCUAUGGCUGAGCUAGAAUAUAAGCUCAGUAAUAAUUAAAGAGCAAAUAUAUAACUCUCACUAGUAGGGUAUUAAUAUACCAACGAAUAACCCUUAUUAGCAGGGUGCCAACAUAUAACCCUCACUAGUAGGAUGCCAAUGCAUAACCCCCACUGGUAGGAUAUCGAUGUACCAGUAUAUAACCCCUACUAGUAGGGUAUCGAUGUACUAGCAUAUAAUACCGACUAUUGUGGUAUCAAUAUACCAACGCAUAACCUCCACUGGCAGGGUAUCGAUACAUAAUCUAGCUGGAAAACCAUCAUGAAUCAAAACUCUCUUUUCAUCAAUUAGUUUUAUAUUCCAAAUUAAAAAAUACACAAAACCUAGUUUCGAAACCAAUACCUUCAACUAUGUAUCAAAUAAUAUUCUAUAAUAAGAUAUACUCAAUGAAUAAAUAUUAUGCUUCAAGUUCAUAACUCACAAAUAAUACGACUUAAAAUUCAAUGAAAUAAAUAUUAUAUAAUUUGCCCAUAAAUCUAGAAAAAGAGUUACAUUACUUACCUUGCAAGUGAAACCAACCGACAGAUCCAUUUACUUCCGAAAAUUCCUCUCAGAGCCUAAUAUUCAAAUUUAUAUUUUUAUCAAAAUUUUAUCAUGAUUAUUUUUAAGAAUAAAAAUCCUAAAUUCCAACACCCUAAUAGGAUUGACCAAAGUGGGAGUGCCCGACCUCCCAGUCUGAUCAUAGUAAUUUUAUCUCAUCAUGAUUGAACUAGGGUGCAAAUAUUUCGGCAAAGUUGGAGAUGACCAAAUUUAACACUGUCAGACAAAGACCAAGGUGGAGACUGGCACGCCGCCCGAUGGCCAUAAAUUAAGGCCGCUACACCAAGGUCGAUUUAAAAUCAUAGAGAGGAGCCAUUUGUUGGAUUCAACAAUCCUAAAGAUAGAGUAACUUUGUAAAGAGUGAAAUAAGAGAGGAAAAUAAGAGAGAAACAAGAGAGAGAGAAAGGAGAAUAAGAGGAGAGAGAAACUGAACUCUCUCUUUUUUUCUUCUUUUUCUUUCUCCUUUUAUUCUUUUCUUCUUUCCUUGGCUUCUUGGCAAAACAAGGGAACUCACACUCGCCCAAAAUAGAGGAGGGGCCUCCCGGCCGGUGGUGGCCGUGGCCGGCAACGGUGGAGCUUCAUAGCUUGAAGGCUCACAACCAUGCAUGGCAGUGGAAUGACGGCUAGGCGAUGCAAGAAAAGUUAAUAAAGCUGCGCAAGGGUCUCUUGGGCUCAAUCAUUUUUGGAUCUCAGCUUGCUCGCCAACAAUUGGGGCUCCGGUGUAGGCUAGAGACCAACGCAGGGGAGAGGUUGAGGGCCUCGGCGAUGAACGCCAUCAGCAGAACUGGCCAGAAAAAGGAAGAGAAGGCAGCCAAAAAGGGGGACCAAAUAGGCGUUUUCCUAGGGUUCCCAACGAAAUCCGGUUGACAGCGUUUCAAUGGGGAAGGGAAGACCAAGAAAGAGAAAUAGAAAGGGAUUGAGGAUUUCAUAUCUUGCCUCGAGUGUGGUUUCAUGGCAUGCAUGAUGACAAUCUUUCAGGAAGUAGAAGAAGAGAAAAGAAAGGAACUCCAACGAUUUCCAACCUUGAGGACUUGGGGUCAGUGGUGGAAAUUGAAAAGAAGCCGGGGGAUGGGAUUUAUAGGGGCGAAGGUGAGGGAGUCCUAUCGAUGCUGGACUCCUACACGUAGUUGUAGAAGAAGGCGACUCCCAUUGAGAGCCCGCCUCUUCUUUCCNNNNNNNNNNNNNNNNNNNNNNNNNNNNNNNNNNNNNNNNNNNNNNNNNNNNNNNNNNNNNNNNNNNNNNNNNNNNNNNNNNNNNNNNNNNNNNNNNNNNNNNNNNNNNNNNNNNNNNNNNNNNNNNNNNNNNNNNNNNNNNNNNNNNNNNNNNNNNNNNNNNNNNNNNNNNNNNNNNNNNNNNNNNNNNNNNNNNNNNNUGAGGGAAUACUUUUUUCAAAUCAAGUCAUAACACUUUUUAAAUCAAUUUUUUUUUCGAACAGGUUUCAAAAUAAUUCAGUUCACCAUGCUUUCGCUGCGUAACUAUAAUCUGAACCCACCAACACACCCAUCUCAAGUCUAGAUUUCUAAGUUUUCCACUUAUAAAUACAACAUGCAUUGCUAUAUAUUAAUCCUUAUGAGCACUUAGUGUUCUUAUUCAAAAUCCUUAUAAACACUUCCAAAAUUUGAAAGUUCAUAUCUUCUUUUGACAGUCAAUCGAGAAAUGUUAUGCAGCCACUUAACUCAUACUAGUGUAAAUUCCAAAAUUUCGUAUCUCCAACAUUGUUAGAUACGUAAAUAUUUAUUUUUUUGUUUAUAUAUAUAUAUACAUAUACAUAUAUACAUAUAUAUAUAUAUACACACACAUAUAUAUACAUAUAUAUAUAUAUAUAUAUACAUAUAUAUAUAUUUCCAUCACCAUGUAAGUCUUAUUUACAGAAUCAUUACUUAAUGUGUCCCCUACCAACGAUUCAAUAUAUAUCUUAGUUUUCAUAGGCUUCUCAACCUAGUAUGUCGUCUAAUAAAAUUGGUGGAGAUGAGAAAAUUAGCGACACUCGAAUCACAUAAGAAUAAAUAUUAGAACCAGAAAAUAUAUGUCAUCAUUGGAUCAAGAGCCUGUGCAUCUUAUUGUGUGAGACCAUAAACCCUUCCUUGGGUUUGAGGUUUCUGGCUUUCAUCCUUGUUUUGCUCCGUUGUCUUGCCAGGUUCAUUCUUCUUUGUGGACAAUCAGCUAUUUUGUGGCCCUUUUGACCACAACCAAAACAUACACCAACAUUCCAACAACAAUCAUUUACAACAUGAUUUCCACCACAUUUGGAACAUUUAUUACUAUCCAUUUGCCUAGAGUUAUCACUCACUAACCUCUUGUUUGAACUCUAGAUGUUUCUAUUGCUCUAUCCCUGAGAUUCAUUUGACCUAUUCCUCUUUUUUUGAUUCCUUUCCCUUCCUGUUCAUUCUUCAUUGACUUUCCUUUCAAUUAUUAACGUUGUGUUUAUCAUUGUUGCAUAAGUAGUCAAUUCAUAUGGCACUACUUGCUUCAUAAUUUCGGUCCUUAGUUCCAUUUCAAAUUUAUAUACUCGAUCUUGCUCAUCCUUGAUGAACCUCGAAAUAAAUUUAGCCAACUCAAUAAAUUUAGCUUCAUAUUCUACUAUGGUCAUACCUCUUUGUUUCAAAUGAAUGAACUCCUGCUCCUUUUGAGUCCUCACACUCCGAGGGAAGUACUUGUCAUAAAAUGCUCCUCGAAAUGUUUCCCAAGUGAGUGGAUCCCUAUCUUAUUCAUAUUUAUGUUCCAGCAUUAGCCACCAAUUGAACGCAUCACCUUGCAACAUAUAGGAGACAUAAAGGAUCUUUUUAUCAUCGCGACAUCUUUGAAUAGAAAAUGCUUUCUCCAUCUCCACAAAGUCAAUUUUCAGCUUCCAAAGGUUCUAUAGUCUCUUUGAAAGAUGGUGGAGCCAGCUUCUUAAACUUUGCAAUGUUACUUCGAUACUCUCUACCACUCCCCAUGUCCUUGUUAUGGCUAUGUUUGCACUUGUUGCAUUUGCUGCUAUUGCAACAAUUUUUGCUACAACUGUUGCUAUGUUGACAUCAUUUCAACUAAUGUUUGCAUUAGUUGAGCCAUAUUAGGCUCCGAUUGCUCUGUUUGAUGGUUCCUAGGAGUCUUGAUGACUCCCUCCCAAUAGGGAGCGUUAGGUAACCCCAACAGGAUCACCAUGGUGAUCUAAGAUCCCGAUGAUCCAAAUGCUGGGGUAAUUUGAUCCCAUUGAUCUAAGAUCAAUGUGUUUGGUAGACCAUGGUCUAUUGAUUAAAAAUCUCCGAAUAUCCAUGAGUAACUUAUUUGGUAUGGUACGGAAAUCCAAGAUCACCGACCACAUAAUACCAUAAAUACCCCUGAUAUAUUUUAGAUGAAUUUUUUAUGCAUUUUUAAUUCUCAUGAAUCAAAAAUUUAAGUCAAUACGUCAAUUCCUAUAAUAGCUCCAUAAUUUUGUCACAUAUUCUACUUUUAGUAGCCUUUAUCAUAUAUUUAUUAAUCAUAUAAAAUAUAUUAUAAUAAAAUAUUAAUAUAUUUAUCAAUAUAUUAAUUAUUAAUAUAUUCUAUAAAAAUAUAUUUAUUACUCCUAUAAAUUAUUAAUCUUAUAAAAAUAUGUUAUUUUUCAUUAUAGAAUUAAUAUUUUUAUUUAUAUUUAUAAUAUAUUUUUUAAUACUAAUAAUUAUUUUGAUUAGGAAAAUAAGGUAAAUAUGAGUAAUAUAUUAAAUAUUUUCAUUAUAUAAAUAUAAAAUAUAAUAUGUUAAAUAUAUAUAUAACAUUGACAUAAUAUAUUGAUGGUAUAUUGAUAUAUCAAUUUUUCUGCUAAAUUGAUGGGUAUUUUUGUCUUUAACUUUCAAACCAGGAUCACUGCCCUGGGAUGAUCUUGGAUUUUUGACCUCAAGGACGGAUAUCCCAUCACCAAGUUGGGCGGUGAUUUGAGGAGUGGAGGUGAUUUAGGAUCAUCGUGGUGCAACCAAAUGUGGUGAUUUCAUCAUCUCCAUCCACAUCACCUUUAAUUCUGGGACGAUCAUCCCAUACCAAAUGCCCCCUUAAGGAAUGCCACCGACAUGCUAGGGCGUGCCACCAUCGCCCUUUUCAUCCGACAUGGGGGCAUCUUAACUUAUAGCCAUCAAAUAGUAGCAAACUCUUAAUAAACUUAUUAACUGAUUAUGAUAACUUAUGUUGCAUGAUCAUAAAUUAAUGUUUCAAUGUUCCUAGCGUCUACCCAUUAACACUUAUUCAAUGUCUGAUUCUAUAACUUAUAAUUUAUCUACUUCUGCUCUGAUACCAUAUUAAUUGUGACACCCCCAAAUCGAGAUCGUGAGCCGGGAUUAUACUCAUUGAAAACUCUCUUUGCAAGCAUAUAAGGCAUCUCAACAUAAUAAUAUAAACAAGUAGUGGAAUAAAUUUACAUAAUUAACAUUCAAACUUUAAUUUAAAUAACUAAAUCAAAAUUAAAUAUCUCACAAAAUUAAUAAUAUUCUAAAGUCUAGCAUCAAUUUUAAUAAAAAUCUAGUCUAAAUAAAGAUGUCAAAAUUCUAUUUCUAGUCGUCUCCUAUAACAAAUCCUCAAGUCAAGCUAGUUUUCUGAAUCUUUAAAAAUAGUAGAAUAUCGAAUAAUGAGUUAGAUGCCCCAGUAAGCAAUGAACACUUUAGCUAGAUAAAUCAAACAAUAAGAAAAGUAAUAAUAUUCUAAAAAUAAGCAUGCAAAGUAAAUCAAUUCAAAACUAAAUCUAGACACUAUCCGAUCAUUUCAAAAUUCAAAAAUUUAUUUUAGAGCCUAUUAAUCAAAAAUUAUAGUUUUAUCAAAAUUUUGUUAUGAUUAUUUUUAAGAAUAAAAAUUUUAAAUUCUAACAUUCUCAUAGGUUGACCAAGCGCGAGUGCCCGACAUCCUGGUCAGUAUGAUCAAGAUGAUUUAAUCUGAUCAUAGUUGAACUAGGGUACAGAUGUUUCAACAAAAUUGAGGGUGACUAAAUCUAAUAAUAUCAGUCAAGGGCUAAGGUAGGACCAGUAUGCCACUCAACGGCCAUAAAUCGAGGCCCCCUAUAUCAGGGUAGAUCCAAAAUCAUAGAAAAGAGUGCUUUGCCUGGCUCAACAACCCUAGAGAGAGUAACUUUGUAGAGAGAGAGAGAAAUAAAAAAAAUAAGAGAGAGAAACUAGAGAGAGAAAGUGGGAAGAAAGAGAAAGAUAGGAAUAAGAGAAGAGGGAGAAACUAAACUNNNNNNNNNNNNNNNNNNNNAGAGAGGAGAACUAACUACUCUCUUCUUCUUUUCUUUUUUUAUUUCUUCUUUUUCUCUCUUUUUUUUUCUUUUCUUCUUUCCUCGGCUUCUUGGCGAAACAAGAGAGCUCACGCUUGCCCUUCUCCAAAACAGAGGAGGGGCCUCCAGCCGGUGGUGGCCGUGGGAGGGUGAUGGAGCUUCAUAGCCUGGAAGCUCGCAGCCAGGCACGACAGUGGAACGACGGCCAGGCGAUACAAGAAAAAGAAAAAAAAAAACAGGGCCGAGCAAGGGUCUUUUGGGCUCAAUCAUUUUUGGAUCCCAACUGCGGUUAGGGCCUCAACGAUGAACUCUGGCAGCGGAAACGACUGGAAAAAAGGAAGAGAAGACGGCCAAAUUGCCAAAAUAGGGGAAAAAAACAUGGGUUUUCCUUUUGAUUGGUUUUCCGACGGUUCCCAACGGAAUCUAGUCGGCAGCGGUCCAAUGGGGAGGGCAAAGACCAAGGAAGAGAAAUAGAGAAGGAUUGAGGACUUCAUACCUUGUCUCCGGUGUGGUUUCGUGGUUGGCACGAUGACAAUCUUCUGGAAGUAGAAGAAGAGACUCCGGAGAUUUCCGGCCUUGAGGGCUUGGAGUCAAUGGUGAAAAUCAAAGAGAAGCUGUUUGAUGGAAUUAAUAGGGGCGGAGGUAAGGGAGCCCUGCCGGGGUUGGACUCCUACACGGAGUUAGAGAAGAAGGCGACUCCCAUCUAGAGUCCGCCUCUUCUUUUUCUUUUCUUUUUCUCCAUUAGCUCAAUUGGGCCGAGUGUUACAAGCUUUCUAAAAGAUAUUUUUUAAUAAAAUAUAAAAGCUAUAUUAAUUACUGGAUGCUGUUAUUUAUGCAGAGUGAUUAUUAUGAUCAUGUAAUGAAAUGGCAGGUUAUUAUUA